Non-coding RNA from Odocoileus virginianus texanus, 607 nucleotides. Lineage: Eukaryota; Metazoa; Chordata; Mammalia; Artiodactyla; Cervidae. The record is from RefSeq and is a predicted model, not a curated record.
AGGGCCGCGGUCAGUCAGUGCAUCGUGAUCGGAGAGCAAAAUAGAGGGGUGGUCGAGGGUAACCCUUCAAGAUUCUUUUCUUUUUUCCCUUCAAGAUUCUAUACAGAGUGAGAUGGGUCCUGACACCUGGAAAGGAGCCCACCAACUUCCCAUUCCUUCCAUCCAAAGAAAGGAAGGCCAAGUACCAGUGACCCUAAAACUAAUUUGUUACAUUCUGCAGUCUGAGAGCUCCUGAGGGCUCCCACAGGAGCAUCUGUCUGGAGUAAAUGGAAGGACCUACAGACAAUCUGAGAUCACUUCUGGAGACACAGACCUAAUCCCAGAAAAAAAGCAUUUUAAUCUUAGCAGCAGCACCUACCAUUCUACAAUCUUCCCAAACGUCCAGAGAGGUAGGACUGACAUGAAAACAGCUGGAAGUAUUUUCUGUGUACAACUUGAUGGAUUUGGAGGUUGGAUUCUUCCUCACAGAAAGAGGCGUGGAAGACAGGGCAGGACUCAGCCUACACAGUAGCAGUCUUCUAAACUGGAACCAUGAGUCUACUCACAGCUUCCUGAGCCCCAAGAACAUCAUUUCUGGCACAAACCCCAUGACAGUGAGCCAGUAGAA